This is a non-coding RNA of Vicia faba (fava bean), 240 nucleotides long. NCBI's taxonomy places the organism in Eukaryota, Viridiplantae, Streptophyta, Magnoliopsida, Fabales, Fabaceae. The record is from the annotation of a GenBank genome assembly.
AUGAAUUUGGUGAAAUUACAUGGCAUUAUGCAAGUUUACCAAAUAUCUCAUGGUGCUUUCUGUUUUACAUUGUGCAGGAAUCUUAGCAACAACCACAUUGGAGGAUUCUCUCAAGAAAUCGGUAAAAUGAAGCAUUCUCAAUGCCUUAUCCUUAUUAUCUCAAUUGGCAAGCUUAUGAGUGAAAAAAUACUCCCGCAUCUUGUGAUGCCAUGUCGAUAUUUCUCAUGUCUUGGCCUAUGA